UNCUAUUCGCCAGUGCGGACUGGAGCCAUC
RNAcentral lists this non-coding RNA (30 nucleotides) under Mus musculus (house mouse). The record is from RNAcentral. Lineage: Eukaryota; Metazoa; Chordata; Mammalia; Rodentia; Muridae.